Molecule: ribosomal RNA, 500 nt
Filed under: uncultured bacterium
Lineage: Bacteria
Description: partial 16S ribosomal RNA
Rfam family: Bacterial small subunit ribosomal RNA
Source: RNAcentral
AUUGAACGCUGGCGGCAUGCCUUACACAUGCAAGUCGAACGGCAGCACGGGAGCAAUCCUGGUGGCGAGUGGCGAACGGGUGAGUAAUAUAUCGGAACGUGCCCAGUCGUGGGGGAUAACGCAGCGAAAGCUGUGCUAAUACCGCAUACGAUCUACGGAUGAAAGCGGGGGAUCGCAAGACCUCGCGCGAUUGGAGCGGCCGAUAACAGAUUAGCUAGUUGGUGAGGUAAAGGCUCACCAAGGCGACGAACUGUAGCUGGUCUGAGAGGACGACCAGCCACACUGGAAAUGGGACACGGGCCCAACUCCUACGGGAGGCAGCAGUGGGGAAUUUUGGACAAUGGGCGAAAGCCUGAUCCAGCAAUGCCGCAUGCAGGAUGAAGGCCUUCGGGUUGUAAACUGCUUUUGUACGGAACGAAACGGUGAGCUCUAAUACAGUUUGCUAAUGACGGUACCGUAAGAAUAAGCACCGGCUAACUACGUGCCAGCCGCCGCAGUAA